GACGAACGCUGGCGGCGUGCUUAACACAUGCAAGUCGAACGAUGAAGCGGUGCUUGCACCGUGGAUUAGUGGCGAACGGGUGAGUAAUACGUGAGUGACCUACCUUUGACUCUGGGAUAAGCCUGGGAAACUGGGUCUAAUACCGGAUACGACCAAUCUCUGCAUGGGGUGUUGGUGGAAAGCGUUAUGGAGUGGUUUUAGAUGGGCUCACGGCCUAUCAGCUUGUUGGUGAGGUAAUGGCUUACCAAGGCGACGACGGGUAGCCGGCCUGAGAGGGUGACCGGCCACACUGGGACUGCGACACGGCCCAGACUCCUACGGGAGGCAGCAGUGGGGAAUAUUGCACAAUGGGCGCAAGCCUGAUGCAGCGACGCCGCGUGAGGGAUGACGGCCUUCGGGUUGUAAACCUCUGUUAGCAUCGAAGAAGCGAAAGUGACGGUAGGUGCAGAGAAAGCGCCGGCUAACUACGUG
This 471-nucleotide ribosomal RNA is filed under the name uncultured bacterium. Its description in RNAcentral is "partial 16S ribosomal RNA". It matches the Rfam family "Bacterial small subunit ribosomal RNA", at positions 28 to 507 of the family's 1533-position model. The record is from RNAcentral.